GACGAACGCUGGCGGCGCGCUUAACACAUGCAAGUCGAACGGAAAGGCCUGCUUUCCCUUGUGGAUUGCGGGUACUCGAGUGGCGAACGGGUGAGUAACACGUGAGUGAUCUGCCCCCAACUUGGGUAUAAGCCUGGGAAACUGGGUCUAAUUCCCGAUAGGACUGCAGGGUGGUGCCUGUGGUGGAAAACGAUUUUCUAGUGGUUGGGGAUGAGCUCGCGGCCUAUCAGCUUGUUGGUGGGGGAAUGGCCUACCAAGGCGGCGACGGGUAGCCGGCCUGAGAGGGUGGACGGCCACAUUGGGACUGAGAUACGGCCCAGACUCCUACGGGAGGCAGCAGUGGGGAAUAUUGCACGAUGGGCGGAAGCCUGAUGCAGCGACGCCGCGUGGGGGAUGACGGCCUUCGGGUUGUAAACUCCUUUCGACCGCGAGGAAGCCACCUGGUUGGAAGGGUGGUGACGGUAGUGGUAGAAGAAGCACCGGCUAACUACGUG
This 494-nucleotide ribosomal RNA is filed under the name uncultured bacterium. RNAcentral's name for it is "partial 16S ribosomal RNA". It matches the Rfam family "Bacterial small subunit ribosomal RNA", at positions 28 to 507 of the family's 1533-position model. The record is from RNAcentral.